RNAcentral lists this ribosomal RNA (502 nucleotides) under uncultured Hypocreaceae. RNAcentral describes it as "SSU rRNA". It matches the Rfam family "Eukaryotic small subunit ribosomal RNA", at positions 20 to 526 of the family's 1831-position model. Lineage: Eukaryota; Fungi; Ascomycota; Sordariomycetes; Hypocreales. The record is from RNAcentral.
GUAGUCAUAUGCUUGUCUCAAAGAUUAAGCCAUGCAUGUCUAAGUAUAAGCAAUUAUACCGCGAAACUGCGAAUGGCUCAUUAUAUAAGUUAUCGUUUAUUUGAUAAUACUUUACUACUUGGAUAACCGUGGUAAUUCUAGAGCUAAUACAUGCUAAAAAUCCCGACUUCGGAAGGGUUGUAUUUAUUAGAUUAAAAACCAAUGCCCCUCGGGGCUCUCUGGUGAAUCAUGAUAACUAGUCGAAUCGACAGGCCUUGUGCCGGCGAUGGCUCAUUCAAAUUUCUUCCCUAUCAACUUUCGAUGUUUGGGUAUUGUCCAAACAUGGUGGCAACGGGUAACGGAGGGUUAGGGCUCGACCCCGGAGAAGGAGCCUGAGAAACGGCUACUACAUCCAAGGAAGGCAGCAGGCGCGCAAAUUACCCAAUCCCGACACGGGGAGGUAGUGACAAUAAAUACUGAUACAGGGCUCUUUUGGGUCUUGUAAUCGGAAUGAGUACAAUUU